AUGCUACUCCCCCCGUCCGAAAAUACUUGUCAUCGAAAUGGAUAAAAGAAGAUGUAUAUAGAACUAAAAUACGUCUGGAAGCAUCCUUUUUAUCCAUUUUGAUGAUAAGUAUUUCCGGACGGAGGGAGUACUUA
Triticum aestivum (bread wheat) is the source of this 134-nucleotide non-coding RNA. Lineage: Eukaryota; Viridiplantae; Streptophyta; Magnoliopsida; Poales; Poaceae. The record is from Rfam.